Molecule: ribosomal RNA, 623 nt
Filed under: uncultured bacterium
Lineage: Bacteria
Description: bacterial SSU rRNA
Rfam family: Bacterial small subunit ribosomal RNA
Source: RNAcentral
AAAAACUGAGGUGGGGUAAGAUGGACCCGCGUCUGAUUAGCUAGUUGGUGAGGUAACGGCCCACCAAGGCGACGAUCAGUAGCCGGCCUGAGAGGGUGGACGGCCACAUUGGGACUGAGACACGGCCCAAACUCCUACGGGAGGCAGCAGUGGGGGAUAUUGGACAAUGGGGGGAACCCUGAUCCAGCGACGCCGCGUGAGUGAAGAAGUAUCUCGGUAUGUAAAGCUCUAUCAGCAGGGAAGAAGAAAUGACGGUACCUGAGUAAGAAGCCCCGGCUAACUACGUGCCAGCAGCCGCGGUAAUACGUAGGGGGCAAGCGUUAUCCGGAAUUACUGGGUGUAAAGGGAGCGUAGACGGUGAUGUAAGUCUGGAGUGAAAGGCGGGGGCCCAACCCCCGGACUGCUCUGGAAACUAUGUGACUGGAGUGCAGGAGAGGUGAGCGGAAUUCCUAGUGUAGCGGUGAAAUGCGUAGAUAUUAGGAGGAACACCAGUGGCGAAGGCGGCUCACUGGACUGUAACUGACGUUGAGGCUCGAAAGCGUGGGGAGCAAACAGGAUUAGAUACCCUGGUAGUCCACGCCGUAAACGAUGAUCACUAGGUGUGGGUGGGUAUGGACCCAUCG